GUUGGAGUUAUUUUAAGUCCUA
RNAcentral lists this non-coding RNA (22 nucleotides) under Rattus norvegicus (Norway rat). Lineage: Eukaryota; Metazoa; Chordata; Mammalia; Rodentia; Muridae. The record is from RNAcentral.